CUCCUUCCCCUUCGGCCUUCUCCUAGCAGUCCGCUGCCCUCGCCCUAGCCGUGUGCCCCUCGGCCCCCUUGCCCGGCGACCAUGGCGUUGCGAUUGUAGGAGCCGAGCUCCCCAACGCAAACCGCGACUGGCCAAACAGCGAAACCCACGGCUCUAGCCUCAGCGUCUCCGACAGCGCCGCCUCGAGUAUCGUCCAGCCACUUAGCGGUGUCUCUGCCGAGCGAUUUCGCUGCUGAAUUGAGCGUGAGCAUCCAUAAGAACCACCCUGAGCGAGAGAGGUGCUUGAAGUGAGGAGGAGGAAAGGAGCAUUGGUCCUUCUUGAAAUUCUGACACAGUCGCAAAAUUCAUAUCAAACUUCACAUGCCCUCUGAGCGUUAUUUCUUCAACAAAAUCCAAUUUCAUUCAGGCUGCUAGCUACCUGAAAUAUCAAGAGCCUUCUGGAUCUGACUUGCCAAAUAGUUGCUGACAUGAUCAAGGGGAAAACUCUUAAGGAGAUUAGGAAGACUUUCAACAUCAAGAAUGAUUUCACUCCGGAAGAGGAAGAAGAAGUCCAAAGAGAAAACCACAAGUAGCAGAGGUGAAGGGAUGAAAAUGUAUGUGAGGGACGAAUUUGAUUAGAUUUUUUGUUAUUUUUGUUCUAUUUUAACUCUAGAUAGAGCUAU
This is a long non-coding RNA of Salvia miltiorrhiza (redroot sage), 662 nucleotides long. RefSeq lists it as uncharacterized. The record is from RefSeq and is a predicted model, not a curated record. The transcript has 3 exons. NCBI's taxonomy places the organism in Eukaryota, Viridiplantae, Streptophyta, Magnoliopsida, Lamiales, Lamiaceae.